RNAcentral lists this ribosomal RNA (434 nucleotides) under uncultured bacterium. RNAcentral's name for it is "bacterial SSU rRNA". It matches the Rfam family "Bacterial small subunit ribosomal RNA", at positions 355 to 786 of the family's 1533-position model. The record is from RNAcentral.
UGAGGAAUAUUGGUCAAUGGACGAGAGUCUGAACCAGCCAAGUAGCGUGAAGGAUGACUGCCCUAUGGGUUGUAAACUUCUUUUAUACGGGAAUAAAGUGAGGCACGUGUGCCUUUUUGUAUGUACCGUAUGAAUAAGGAUCGGCUAACUCCGUGCCAGCAGCCGCGGUAAUACGGAGGAUCCGAGCGUUAUCCGGAUUUAUUGGGUUUAAAGGGAGCGUAGGUGGAUUGUUAAGUCAGUUGUGAAAGUUUGCGGCUCAACCGUAAAAUUGCAGUUGAAACUGGCAGUCUUGAGUACAGUAGAGGUGGGCGGAAUUCGUGGUGUAGCGGUGAAAUGCUUAGAUAUCACGAAGAACUCCGAUUGCGAAGGCAGCCUGCUGGACUGUAACUGACGCUGAUGCUCGAAAGUGUGGGUAUCAAACAGGAUUAGAUACC